Molecule: ribosomal RNA, 497 nt
Filed under: uncultured bacterium
Lineage: Bacteria
Description: partial 16S ribosomal RNA
Rfam family: Bacterial small subunit ribosomal RNA
Source: RNAcentral
GAUGAACGCUGGCGGCGUGCCUAAUACAUUCAAGUCGCGCGAACGGACGCGAAUCUUGCUUCUCUGAUGUUAGCGGCGGACGUGUGAGUCACACGUGGCUAACCUACCUUUCUGACUGGGAUCACUUCGGGAAUCCGUAUCUAAUACCGUAUAAUAUUUUGAACCGCAUUGUUCAAAUGUGAAAUACGGUCUUUCUGUCACUUAUAGAUGCUUCCGCGCUGCAGUAGCUAUUUGUUAAGGUAACGGGUUUCCAAGUCAACGAUGCCUAUACGACCUGAGAGGGUGAUAGGCCACACGGGAACUGAGACACGGACAAGAGUACUGAGGGAGGCAGCAGUAGGGAAUGGUCGGCAAUGGGCGAAAGUCUGACGGAGCAACGGGAAGUCAGUGAUGAAAGUCUUCGGAUCGGAAAAAUCUGUUAUUAGGGAAGAACAGAUGUGGAAGGAAAUGUGCACAGCGUGACGGUAACGAAUAAGAAAGCCACGGCUAACUACGUG